CACCUCUCAGAGUCGCCCCUGGAGAGUUUUCAGGCCUCUACCAGUCUGGGCUCUGGGAGGGAGAGUCAAGCAGAGGCCUACCCAUUCCAUUCCUAGCUUGGCCAGUGGCUAAUGAGUGGAGGGCAAUCUGCUACAAAU
Molecule: non-coding RNA, 138 nt
Organism: Ornithorhynchus anatinus (platypus)
Lineage: Eukaryota; Metazoa; Chordata; Mammalia; Monotremata; Ornithorhynchidae
Source: Rfam